This is a long non-coding RNA of Pezoporus flaviventris, 289 nucleotides long. RefSeq lists it as uncharacterized. The transcript is spliced from 2 exons. The record is from RefSeq and is a predicted model, not a curated record. Lineage: Eukaryota; Metazoa; Chordata; Aves; Psittaciformes; Psittacidae.
AGAGCACAGAAGGAUGUGGCCUUCCAACACAGCACACGUCAGAGCAAGCUGUCAGAGGUGAUGCAAGAACCCAAGAACAAGGAAGAUUUUAACUUGAGAGCUGUGAAAGGGAAUCUAGUUUCAGCAGAUGUGGUAACUACAAAACAUGCCCGUGAAGAAGAUCCACUACCUCUCAAGGUCCUCCAAAAAAACAAAACCAUACCUGUAAGGAUGUUCUUGAAGGCUUCUUCUACAUUUGUUGAAUCCAGAGCAGAAGUUUCAAUAAAAGAUAAGUUAUUUUUCUCUGUAA